AGCCAUGCAUGUCUAAGUAUAAGCAAUUAUACAGCGAAACUGCGAAUGGCUCAUUAUAUAAGUUAUCGUUUAUUUGAUAGUACCUUACUACUUGGAUAACCGUGGUAAUUCUAGAGCUAAUACAUGCUAAAAAUCCCGACUUCGGAAGGGAUGUAUUUAUUAGAUUAAAAACCAAUGCCCUCUGGGCUCCUUGGUGAUUCAUAAUAACUUUUCGAAUCGCAUGGCCUUGCGCCGGCGAUGGUUCAUUCAAAUUUCUUCCCUAUCAACUUUCGAUGUUUGGGUAUUGGCCAAACAUGGUCGCAACGGGUAACGGAGGGUUAGGGCUCGACCCCGGAGAAGGAGCCUGAGAAACGGCUACUACAUCCAAGGAAGGCAGCAGGCGCGCAAAUUACCCAAUCCCGAUUCGGGGAGGUAGUGACAAUAAAUACUGAUACAGGGCUCUUUUGGGUCUUGUAAUUGGAAUGAGUACAAUUUAAAUCCCUUAACGAGGAACAAUUGGAGGGCAAGUCUGGUGCCAGCAGCCGCGGUAAUUCCAGCUCCAAUAGCGUAUAUUAAAGUUGUUGUGGUUAAAAAGCUCGUAGUUGAACCUUGGGCCUGGCUGGCCGGUCCGCCUCACCGCGUGUACUGGUCCGGCCGGGCCUUUCCCUCUGUGGAACCUCAUGCCCUUCACUGGGUGUGGCGGGGAAACAGGACUUUUACUUUGAAAAAAUUAGAGUGCUCCAGGCAGGCCUAUGCUCGAAUACAUUAGCAUGGAAUAAUGAAAUAGGACGUGUGGUUCUAUUUUGUUGGUUUCUAGGACCGCCGUAAUGAUUAAUAGGGACAGUCGGGGGCAUCAGUAUUCAAUUGUCAGAGGUGAAAUUCUUGGAUUUAUUGAAGACUAACUACUGCGAAAGCAUUUGCCAAGGAUGUUUUCAUUAAUCAGGAACGAAAGUUAGGGGAUCGAAGACGAUCAGAUACCGUCGUAGUCUUAACCAUAAACUA
This 981-nucleotide ribosomal RNA is filed under the name Samsoniella ramosa. RNAcentral's name for it is "SSU rRNA". It matches the Rfam family "Eukaryotic small subunit ribosomal RNA", at positions 47 to 1039 of the family's 1831-position model. Lineage: Eukaryota; Fungi; Ascomycota; Sordariomycetes; Hypocreales; Cordycipitaceae. The record is from RNAcentral.